RNAcentral lists this ribosomal RNA (362 nucleotides) under uncultured bacterium. RNAcentral's name for it is "bacterial SSU rRNA". It matches the Rfam family "Bacterial small subunit ribosomal RNA", at positions 8 to 353 of the family's 1533-position model. The record is from RNAcentral.
AGAGUUUGAUCCUGGCUCAGGACGAACGCUGGCGGCGUGCUUAACACAUGCAAGUCGAACGAAGCGAUUUAACGGAAGCCUUCGGGCAGAAGAUAAAUUGACUUAGUGGCGGACGGGUGAGUAACGCGUGAGCAACCUGCCCAUAAGAGGGGGAUAACAGUUGGAAACGACUGCUAAUACCGCAUAAGACCACAUUACCGCAUGGUAAAGGGGUCAAAGAAAUUCGCUUAUGGAUGGGCUCGCGUCCCAUUAGGUAGUUGGUAGGGUAACGGCCUACCAAGCCAAUGAUGGGUAGCCGACCUGAGAGGGUGAUCGGCCACACUGGAACUGAGACACGGUCCAGACUCCUACGGGAGGCAGCA